Molecule: ribosomal RNA, 475 nt
Filed under: uncultured bacterium
Lineage: Bacteria
Description: bacterial SSU rRNA
Rfam family: Bacterial small subunit ribosomal RNA
Source: RNAcentral
AAUCAACGCUGGCGGCGUGCCUCAGACAUGCAAGUCGAACGAUUAAAGCUCUUUUCGGAGAGUGUAUAGAGUGGCGCACGGGUGAGUAACACGUAAGUAAUCUACCUUCGAGUGGGGAAUAACGUCCGGAAACGGACGCUAAUACCGCAUAAUGCAGCGGCAUCGCAAGAUGACAGUUGUUAAAGAUUUAUCGCUUGAAGAGGAGCUUGCGGCAGAUUAGCUAGUUGGUAAGGUAAUGGCUUACCAAGGCUACGAUCUGUAACCGGUCUAAGAGGACGGUCGGUCACACUGACACUGAAUAACGGGUCAGACUCCUACGGGAGGCAGCAGUCGGGAAUCUUGGGCAAUGGGCGAAAGCCUGACCCAGCAACGCCGCGUGAAGGAUGAAGUAUUUCGGUAUGUAAACUUCGAAAGAAUGGGAAGAAUCAAUGACGGUACCAUUUAUAAGGUCCGGCUAACUACGUGCCAGCCGCCG